UCAGCUUUCAAGUCCAUUUCCUGGAAACACAACAAAAGCAUGAAAUGAAGCAUUUCUUAGAGGCAGCAAUUCUCCUGAAGUGUUCCUUGUGGAGUCAGUUUGGAAAAGAGGUGAAUUUUACAUCAGUGAAUCACAGCUCCCCACACUGCCCCAUCCCCAUCACCUUGUGACCUCAGAAAAACCAUCAAACUUUUAAGGGAAGAGUUCAAGAAAAGGAGAUAAAAACAUCAGCUCAUGUUGACUCUGCUCAGAGAUUUUCUGGGAGGAAAAUGAAGCUUUCCUGGAAAUAACAUCCCUAUUUGUGGGGGGAUAGAAUAUAAGAAAAUAAAGACGGUGUAGAAAGUAAUCUCACCCCUAAGGAGCUGCAGCUGGGGCAAUUACCAAAGAUUAGGAACAGGCCUGACUUUAACAGGGCUACAGAUGUGACCAGUGAGAAGAUGCUAUAAAAGAGUGGGGUGGGUGGUGGAGAAGGGAACUGGAGUCAGUUGGGUGCUUUGUGAAGAAGAAAGAGUCAGUGCUUGGAGGAGAAACACCAAGAAAGUGUGAAACUUUUGUGAUGAGACAACAGCAUGGAACCCCUGCAAUAAGAUGGCAACACCUAUUCCUUCUGGAUGCCUCAGCACUCUUGAUUUGCUCCCUGAGUGUGUCCUGUGCCCUGGCACAGUGCUGCCCUUGUCACAUUGCUGAGCAUUGUCACCUUACUCAGCUUGGAUUUGUCAUAGGGAACGUGCUUCUCCUUGGUGGCCAUGAUGAUCCUGCCAGUGAACCCCUCCUGGCGAAGAGUCUCUGCACACACCAGGGCAGCCACACCUGCAGGAGAGCUCACCUCAGCCCUCUGACACCUCGCUGAGGAGGAGGAGGAGGUCGGUGCUCCCUGGAGAGGAGAGCAGCAGCUCCCAGCGUGUGUGGAGGGGGCAGAGCUCGGAUCUCAGAUCCCUUCACUGACCUCCCCCCAGCAGCAGCAUCGUGUUCUUGUUGAGGAGGCACCUCCUGCUUGUGUCCUUCACCCUCUGGCUGCUUUCCAGGUCCUGCAAAAAAAAAAAAAAAAGAGAAAUGCUCAAGUCACACGCAGCCCAAGGCACUGCCUGUGCUCAGUGACUGCAGAGAAAAAAAAAGCAAGAAAUGGAGCAGGGGAAGAUCAUUUAAGGCAGAUUUUGAUGCAGGGUGGUGACUUGCUCCUACAAACCCCCCCUGCAUCACUCCCCUCAUCCCAGGUUUUUUGGGAGAAGCAUCUCUGGGUACUCACCUGCUCCUGCCAGGGGGGUUCAGGCACCUGUCCCCAGGUCAGAGAGCCACCACCGCUGCUGCCUGCGACUUUCUCCUGCGAGGUGACACCCUGGUGUCUCACAGAGCCGCCAGCCCACGGCUGGUGAUGCUCUCCCCUCCUUGCACAACGCUCCCACCCAUCAGGAGAUGCAGCUCCUGGCAGAGGCUGCCUGCCAGGCAGCGUUAUCUGAUUUCUGCAACUGGCCCGGGCCUCAUUAAAGGGUUUUUCUCCAUUGAUUUUAAGGAACAUGAAGUUUCUAGCAGCUCUGCAUGUGCCUUGCAUCCCAGCUCUGCUCCUGGUUCAGCCACUGAUGUCCAGGCACACAAUUCCAUCAUUCCCUGGCCCGUGAAGGAUGCCUUGGAGCAGGGUGCUUCUUGCAGGGCUAUUUUUAUAACAAAGUGGGAGUUGCAAAAAACCGGGAGUAACACCUACACUGUUUGUGUCUCCUCUUGUGUUCUUAUCUCUAUUUCACAGUCAGUAUGUUUCACAACUUAAAAUAUGCCUCAAAAAAUUAAAGGGGGGGAGAAGUUACCAACAGCGCGCUUCCAUCAUCUCCCUUGCAGAACAGGAGAUCUGCAGCAGGGGGGAUAAAAAUCCUCUGGUGGGUAUCACCUGCAGGAGAAGGCAUGUGCAGGAUGCUGGGGAAGUGCAGGAUGGGUUAUUUGGGAAGCAGUUAAAUUCAUGGGACCCUCCAAGCCAUGAGCAGGGUACCAGGACCCCGCUGUGCCCAGCCCACAGGCUCUGCACACCCACGAUGGCCACAGGAAUGAGGGAUUUUCUCACAGCAGCAAUGAGCAGCUUCUGGGCUCUGCCCUCCUGGCCAGGAGCCGGAAUGUGAAGCAAUUUGGCUGCCAAAUGUCCGUAUUUAAACUCUGUGUAAUUAUUCCCCAGGAGCGCGUUCCCACGUGGAGGAGCAGCAGCCCUUGCCGGGCAUUCUCUGACUCAGCAGAAACGGCUGGAAAAGUGUUUGCUCACUGAUGGAAAUGUGCAGAGAGCAGGCAAAGAGGUGUGCAGCCUUGGGAUGAGGCAGGUGGAGCUUGAUCCUGUGCAGGGAUGUUUGCACUGCAAGGCUGAGCAGCAGAUUUGGCUGUUGGAUGCUGCUGGAUGCAGCCGAGCGCCCAGGAAAGGGUUUUGGAAAGGGCAAAGGAAAGGGCAAACCAAAAUGCUUUGACAGAGGCAAAGAUGAUAGAAUGGAUAUUAGAAAGGUGAUAGACAAAGGAUACAAAGUGGAAAAGGGCUUUGGAUGUCAGGGGGAAGCUGGGGGCUGGCUGCAGGGAUGUGAGUGUGUGUCAGGAAUACACAACGUGCCCUCGAGGGACUGGGAUGGGACUGGAGGCAGCUUUUCAGGAAGAUGCUCUGUAAACAUCUUUUGGCCUUUUUUACGUAAACCAGAGGUGGUUACUCAGAGGGUUUUAGACCUUUUCUUGUAGCACAAGUCAGGAUUAAACAUAGGAAGGAAGAGAGGAAAGGGAAGUGGUGCCCUCAACCACAAAGAGAGCCCAGGUGGGCACCAGACAUCUCUGAGCAGAUCUGCCACCCACAUUGUGCUGACUCACACGAGCUGCUGAGCUGACCUUGGGUUUUCUCAGACACCUUCCCUUCUGCUGUGCCUCCCCAGAGCUGCUGAGCUGACCUUGGGUUUUCUUAGACACCUUCCCUUCUGCUGUGCCUCCCCAGUGCUGAAAACCCAAGUUUAGAGGCGAGGAUUUAAGGAGUGUAACUUUCCCGCCUUCAAGUUCCCACCACCAUCAGCUGGAGUAGCACAUUUUUUCAUGCCAUGGCUGUGUGGAUUCAUCUUUUUCCCACCUUUUCCCCAGCUCAGGGCCCUUGCCUGCUCUGCCACUGAUUUUAACAAGCAGCACCCACGGAGUGAAACUGCUCAGCUGCAGGAAGAGGAAGCGAGGUGAAACCUGCAGCAGAGCUGGAGUGAUUAAUGGGGCACUGCUCUCAGAACAGCUUGGUUUGUGAUAUUAAUAACGAGAGAAUUCAGGAGGGAACCCAACCUGUUCCAAGCUGUGGAGCCAGCAGCAGCAGGAGAUGCAGGGGGGAAGCUCCUGUGCUGGUAUUUGCAAGACAGGAGGAAUUGAGUGGGCUCAGAGGGUGUGUGGGGGUUUGGGAUGUGCUUCCACCUUGGAGGAUUCAUUCUUAACCUGAAAUGCAAAACAAAACCCCAUGUAGUGGUAAAUGCAUCAUGAUGUAAUCAUGAAGCACAUACAUAUUCAUCAAAAAUUACUUAAGCUUGAGACUGGUGAAUUAAACAGGGGAAAAAAAUGUUUAUCCCACAAGGGAAGAAGACGGGGAAAAGAAAAAUUUAGUGAGAAUGAAUUUGCUUACAGGGUAAGAAUAAUUAUAUGUGAUGUUUCACAUUUUCUUCCUAAGCAUUCACGUCUGGUGAUGGUGAGAGAUGGGACACAGGCCUGGCAGACACCUGGCACCACUUCACAGUGAGCACUGGGGAAGGAAAGCAGGAACCUGAAACCUUACAAAUAACAGCACACUGACAGUUCAGAAAGUCAAAAACAUUUGGGGCACAGCAGCUGCAGAAAGCAGAGGGGAGCUGCCCAUGCUGCUGAGAUUGAAGGGGAUUUGCCACCAAUGGAAUUCUGUCCAUCCCAUGGCACACCUGUGCAGCUGGAGUGAGGAGGGAGCACAUCCUCUCCUCUGAGCCACUGGUCCAGCACAGCCCUGGAGGAGCAGCUGAGCCUGCAGCAUCCUUGGGGACACUCUGCUGUCAAAAAAUCCCUUGUGCCAAGUCCUGAGUUAAAAAAAAUCCUUCCAGUGCUGGGAAAAAGGAAGGGCAGAAGAAGAGCAUCCAGAUGAAGCUGCCCUGGGGUCAUUUAUCAAAGCAGGCUGUGCCUGGGUGGUUUGGGAGCAUUCCCACAUGCCAGGCUGCAGCUGGUGUCUGGCACCAGAACCUGCUGGUUCGGGGAAGCUCCCAGGGGACAUUCCAGGUAUUCCAGGAAUGAUUUUAGGAAGGAGGAGCAGCCUGGGCAGCAGAACACCUGCAGUGCUGGUCAAACCCUCUGGGGGGAAGGAAAAUGCUUCAGACCUGGGCAGGGUCACUGUGGUGCAAGCACAGGUGAUUUCCUCUGCCAGGUGAGCUCAGGUCCUGAGGUCAGGGCUCAAGUGCUGACUUUUGGCAUUUCUUGCCUCAAACUCUGUGGCUGAGAGACUAAAAUCCCUUUUUCCAGUGUCCACAGCAAGUUCUACCUGGAGAAUAUCCAGCUUCUCCACAUCAGGGAGUUGUUCCUGGCUGGAAGGGGUGGCUGCUCCAGUUUGAAUUUAUUUCGGCUCUCUCUACAGCUGCCUCUGCAAUGCAUGGGCAUGCUUUGCCAUGCAGAACCUGCAUUUUGCACAGCAGAUCCUUUCAGGAGUGUGGAGUUCCAGACUUCCUGGAUAUACAAAGCAUUCCUACAUCAUCUGACCUCUUAUGGCCUCAGCAGACAGAGUGGUGGCACAGUUUAGAGAGGCAUGGAGACAACAGCUAAUUAAAGUUUGGAAGCCAAACUGGAUUUGUUCUGAGCUCUUGGACUCCUCAGAUUACUUCAGGUGUGAGCCAGGUCUGGCAUUAGAUGAGCAGAUGGGUUUUAUGACUCCCUGGAUGCAGAGAGGCAGAUUAAGGGAGGGAAGCUUUGCAAAAACAGGAGCAGGACUUGUGCCGGGCUCCAGUGAAUCCUCUGUGGAAUCUGUGGGCAGAGUGGGCACCUCCUGAAGUAAGGGAUGGUGGAAGUGCAAAACCCAGAACCCCACCUAGGAGUAGUUGGGGGCCAUCUAGGGGGGACAGAGCUCAGCUGGCAGAAUUUCUGUGGUGGAUUAUCACUAAAUUUUUAGUUCAGUGCCAGCUUUUAAUUGUGGAAAAUGAGCUGUAUCUCUCCGAUACACUGCAGAGAAACUCCAGCCUGAGAAAGGGAGACAAAAACGAUUAUCUAGCUAUUGAAUAAAAUUCUGUACCCUCGAUUUACACCCCGAUUGCUGCUGGGAAGCUCCCAUUGUGGGAUUAUAGGAUGGACCUGGGCACGUCCUUGCUGGGAUCUGCAAGGAUUCCCCUGCCCUGCUGGGAGCAGGCACCGGCACCAGCCGGAGCCGCAUCCCCGCAGCAAACGAGGUCGUUUGGGGACAGCCGGAAAACUUCUGGAAAUCUGGGUGAAAAAGGCAGCGUCUCCAAAUAAGGUGGGGAUGAGGAAUCCCAUCGGAGCGGGCUCCCGGCUCUCCAGCGGGCGUGCAGGGACCUCUGGUGGCAGCCGAGCCCGAGAGUUCCCGUCCCUGCUCUUCCCUCCGGGUUCUUUUGGGACAAGCCUGGCCCCCGAGCCUGCGGCGUGUGGUUUGGAUUUUUUGGCCUGAUCUGGUGUCAGGGGACUUGUUUGUAACUGGGUUUGGACGUCUGCAGCUCCAAAACCGCCCCCGGUUAAUGCCAUUGCUGCAGAGGAAGGAAAAAGGCUGGAAUCGGGGUUGUAAGAAACUCAAUGGGAAAUAAAUUAAAUAAAAUCUGGGCUAAAACGACCCAAAAAAGUAGUUUAUAUGUAACUGUUGGUAGUGCUCUAGCAAUUGGGAUCAAAGUCCUUGAACCAGAGGCUCAAUUAAUCUCGGCUUAAAUUCCUGCCAUGCAGAAGUGGAAGGUAAAAGCUCUCCAGCCUCCAGAAACAUUUUAACUAUUCCUGUGCCCGAAUCCUGAACGUUCAUCUUUAGGACAAACACAAAUGGAGGAGCUCCUGAGGAAACAGGGCUGGAGCUGCAGGCAUUCCACAGCCUGGGAUUUUCCCUGCAGGAAGGUGAAGGCAGGAGUUGUCACCAGGGAAAAGGGCAGGCAAGAUAUUUUUUGAGGCUAAACCACCGCAGAUGACUUCUAAUUCGGAAACCGGCUCUGUGCAAUUUUAUCCUCAAUUAAUUGUUAAAUGAUUUUUCUCCUCAGUGCCCCGAGCAGCCCAGCACGUCUCCAAGGCAUGUCUCUCUUUUCCUCAGCACAUCAUCUGCUGAACAAAAAUGUCUUUGCAUUUGGUCUUCUCAGUAACAGAUUAGCCUGUGUGAUCCUUCCACUGCUAAUACACGAGAUUAUUUAAAAUCCCCUGAGCACUCAGGGCUGCCUAUUACUUCAGGCACUGUCUCCCUGCCACGUAACUGUUAUGAAAGUACAGUGCCUUGCCUGGCUUUUAAGCAAAUUUGUGCAGCAUGAAUAGAUGCUUUUUUACCAGUUGGGACUAUCACAGAAACACAGAAUCGUUUAGGUUGGAAAAGAACCUCACCCAUCUCCCAGUUUGAUUUAAUCACUCAGCCUCCCUUCCAUCAGUGUGUAUUUGAUGUUUUUGUGUGUCCAUCACCCCAAAGCCAGGACAGCAACUAAGAGCUGUCUCCACACUCUUGUGUUUCAGCGAAGAGGAAGUGGAAGAUUUCAUCCAAAAUUAAUACCUCAAAGCAGAGGUGGAGUUUGACAUUAAUCGGUGUGUACACGGUGACUCAGCCCGGCGGCAGGAGGGGAAGCGAGGGCUGCUUCUGCUGGAGACAUCAAAAAGCAACAAGGGAGCGAUCAAAUUACGGGAAGCUGGAAAAGCAGCGUAGUUGUAGGGUAGAACUAAAACUGUGGCUACGGGAUUGUGAAUUUCCACAACCUCCAGACAGCAGAGCUGGGGUAUCCCAGACUUCGGGGAGCUUUUCUCGGGAUCAGACAUGGGAUAUGGGAAUAAGGGAUAACAGUGCUGUGGGCAGAGCGUUUUUAGGCAAAGCAAUCAGUUUUUUUUCUGUGCUUGAUGUGCGAUCAGCCCCGGUGGUGUGGUGUGAUCUGGGGGAUCCUGAGCCGCGGUGAGCGGCGCUUGGAGAGUUCCUGCCCAAGGAAACAACGACGGGCAUCACCUGCCGGGG
Molecule: long non-coding RNA, 7120 nt
Organism: Zonotrichia leucophrys gambelii
Lineage: Eukaryota; Metazoa; Chordata; Aves; Passeriformes; Passerellidae
Exons: 3
Source: RefSeq, a predicted model, not a curated record